AACAUGUGAAUUGGAGGCGUGGCUUCUUUGAUGGACUCACCCAGACGCGACUGCCGAACUUUGAACUUUAACUUUGUUUACGACGCGAGUUCAUGAAAUGGAGUCUGAAAAUUGGUAGACAUUUUAACGAACUUUCAACAGAAAGGAACAUCGAAAUGAGUGCAUACUAUUGCAAAUUAACUUCGUGUAGAUAUUUUUUCCAUUUUGGUGCCCAACUCAUCUCCAGAUUUUAGAUGAGAAAGGAACAGAGAAUAAAAGCUUUAUUCUUCCGAAACCGAGUCAACAAUUGAAUUUUGAUAACGGUACAGGAAUGCGCUUUGAAGCACAGGCAGUGAGGGACUGUCUGCAGCAAGGUUUGAAGGAGCACUCUUUGGUGACACAUGAAGACUCAUUCAAGUUUGCCACCAUCUUGGAUCAGGCUAGGCACAGCUUAGGCUACUUUCACGACAAAGAACUUGCGAAGUGAUCAGCUCGCUUAGUAACUCUCUACUUAAUCUCAUGAUAAUGUUAAUUUACAUCUCUCAAGUUGUGUGCUUUCAUAUGCUUUGUCCACUUGGCCUUGUCACUGAUAAAAAAUUGUUAUAGAAACAGAGAAAUUAAUGGUUAAUUAUCAAGGUUUAUUAUGGUGCCAGUGAAUUAUUCCAUGGAAAAGUUUGGAAAAUAUUUGAUUAUAUAAUAUUGUAAUGAGUUAUUUGUAGUGCUUUCAAUGAUUCUACCCUUGGUCAUUCGAUCUAUUCUCAAUGUGCAACCACUUUUCCUUUCUCUGACAUAUAUAAAGUCAUGCCUCAGUGCAGUGUGAUACAAUACCUUUGAGAUCUGAUACCCAUUGAAACUCUUGGAAGGUGAGCAUCUGUCUUAUAUUGCUUUGAUGUCCUUGCAUUUGAAAGUCAUUUUUUAUGAAACACGCAUUUUGCAAAAUCUAUGCGUGAUCAUCAAUUUAUUAAACAUUCAUUAUAAAACCAUUUACAUUUCAAUUACCAAAAAAAAAUACCAUGGACAAUACAUGAAAUUGUCCUGUUUCAAACACCACAAUUGUAUUUGCUCAAGAUGCCCAGUAUCAGCAUCUACCAUGUUUUUUUUUCAAUUCCUACACUUUGACCCAGCUCGGACAUUUUCCUUGUGAUUGGUGCUGCCCACCAAAGUCCACCCAUAAAUAUUUUCAUGUCACACAUUCAUAUUUACUGAGGUUGGUAACUAUGGGAGAGAGACAGACAGACAAACAAACACAUAGAUGAAGAGACAAGCGAAACAGACAUCAUAAGACCUCAAGGUCAAGGGGCACAAACACACCUGUUGCACCAGUUGCGUUGUGUAAUUCAGGUUGUAUUAUUAUCUCCAUUAAAAAUAUAUAUGUAA
Anneissia japonica is the source of this 1356-nucleotide long non-coding RNA. RefSeq lists it as uncharacterized. The transcript is spliced from 3 exons. Lineage: Eukaryota; Metazoa; Echinodermata; Crinoidea; Comatulida; Comatulidae. The record is from RefSeq and is a predicted model, not a curated record.